UACGGAGGGAGCUAGCGUUGUUCGGAAUUACUGGGCGUAAAGCGCACGUAGGCGGCUUUGUAAGUUAGAGGUGAAAGCCCGGGGCUCAACUCCGGAAUUGCCUUUAAGACUGCAUCGCUUGAAUCCGGGAGAGGUGAGUGGAAUUCCGAGUGUAGAGGUGAAAUUCGUAGAUAUUCGGAAGAACACCAGUGGCGAAGGCGGCUCACUGGACCGGUAUUGACGCUGAGACGCGAAAGCCAGGGGAGCAAACGGG
This 253-nucleotide ribosomal RNA is filed under the name uncultured bacterium. RNAcentral's name for it is "partial 16S ribosomal RNA". It matches the Rfam family "Bacterial small subunit ribosomal RNA", at positions 524 to 776 of the family's 1533-position model. The record is from RNAcentral.